GGGGGGAGCAAGCGUUGUUCGGAUUUACUGGGCGUAAAGGGCGCGUAGGCGGCCACCGCAAGUCAGUUGUGAAAUCUCUGGGCUUAACCCAGAAAGGUCAACUGAUACUGCGGGGCUAGAGUGCAGAAGGGGCAACUGGAAUUCUCGGUGUAGCGGUGAAAUGCGUAGAUAUCGAGAGGAACACCUGCGGCGAAGGCGGGUUGCUGGGCUGACACUGACGCUGAGGCGCGAAAGCUAGGGGAGCGAACGGGAUUAGAUACCCCGGUAGUCCUAGCCUUAAACGAUGAAUGCUUGGUGUCUGGGGUUUUAUAGUCCCCGGGUGCCGUCGCUAACGCUUUAAGCAUUCCGCCUGGGGAGUACGGUCGCAAGACUG
This 373-nucleotide ribosomal RNA is filed under the name uncultured bacterium. RNAcentral's name for it is "bacterial SSU rRNA". It matches the Rfam family "Bacterial small subunit ribosomal RNA", at positions 527 to 896 of the family's 1533-position model. The record is from RNAcentral. RNAcentral also lists the same sequence under 1 other name.